GUAUAUUAUGCAUCAAAUUCCAUUUCCUUCUACACUGGUGUAUAUGUGUGGUGGACCUGAGGAAGCCCUCAGAAAAGGUCUACACAAGAGGUGCACAAAUAGAUGGAGAAAUGAAGGACGACAGAGCGUGCACGGUCAAAGAAGGGCCAGCGACAACUCGUCAUGCUAUUUCAAUAAUGAUCCUUCCGCAGGUUCACCUACGGAAA
RNAcentral lists this unclassified non-coding RNA (206 nucleotides) under uncultured fungus. RNAcentral's name for it is "sequence contains ITS1". The record is from RNAcentral. Lineage: Eukaryota; Fungi.